AGACGUCUACAUUAGAUACCCGGGUAGUCCCAGCCGUAAACUAUGCGCGUUAGGUGUAUCGGUGACCACGAGUCACCGAGGUGCCGAAGGGAAAUCGUGAAACGUGCCACCUGGGAAGUACGGUCGCAAGGCUGAAACUUAAAGGAAUUGGCGGGAAGCACCACAACGGGUGGAGCCUGCGGUUUAAUUGGACUCAACGCCGGGAAGCUCACCGGAUAAGACAGCGGAAUGAUUGCCGGGCUGAAGACUCUGCAUGACUAGCUG
Molecule: ribosomal RNA, 264 nt
Filed under: uncultured archaeon
Lineage: Archaea
Description: partial 16S ribosomal RNA
Rfam family: Archaeal small subunit ribosomal RNA
Source: RNAcentral